UGUUUCCUGAACUUCUCUAGGAUACAAUCUGAACUUCUUUCCGUUGAACUUUUCUUGAAAGUUCCCUCUAGGAAAUUUUCUGAUCUUUUCUAAGAAGAAGCUUAAACUUAUCUCGUAAGUUCCUUGAACUUCUCAAGGAAUUUUCCUGAACUUGUGAAGUUGCGUGAACGUCUCUACGAAGUUCCUUGAAUUUCUCUGAGAAACUCCCUGAGCUUCUAUGGGAAUUUUCCUGAACUUUCCGGUAGCUCCCUGAAAUUCUCAAGGAAUUUUCUUAAACAUCUCUAGGAAGCUCCCUGAAUUUCUUUAGGAUGUUCCCUAAACUUCCCUAGGAAUCUCCCUUUCACCAAACUUCUCUGGGAAGAUACAUAAACUUCUCGUAACUUCCCUGUAAAUUAUCUGAACUCUUCGUAUGUUCAACGAACUUCUUUAGGUAAUUGCAUUAACUUUCCUUGAAAGCUGAACAUCUCUCGGAAGUUCCAUGAACUUCGUUGAGAAAUGUCCUGAGCUUCUUCCAGAAAUUCCUUAUGCUUCACUCAGAAAUUCCCUAAAUUUAUCUCAGAAAUUCUCCUAAUUUCACUAGAUUGUUCAGAAAAAGUUUUAAGAACUUCUGAAACAAUUACUAGGACUUUUUCAAACUUCAGAGUGCUUUGGGUACAAUCCAGAAAACUUCUGAUCAAAGUUCAGAGGUCUUCUGAAUCUGUGUAGAGCAGUUCGUAAAGUUCUCAGAACCUCUGAAAAUGUUCGAAGAGAUUUUUAACAGUUUCAGAAAUCGUUUGGAAAAGGUCAAAGAAAUUCUGAAUCUGUUCAGAGAACUUCGAAACAUACAGAUAAGUUUUUGAUUUAAUGAACUUUUAGGACAAUUUUGAGAUCUUUGAGAAGUUCAUAGAACCACUUAAAACAUGCAAAGAGCUUUUGAAAAAAAACAGAGAUCUUCGGGAAAAGCUCAAAGAGCUUUUGAAAAAAAAUCAGAGAUCUUCUGGAAAAGUUCAAAGAAUUUGUGAAAAAGUUAAAAAAACUUAUGAAAAAGUUUCAUGAACUUCUGGUUCAUGAUUACUUUUGCAUUUUUUUAAAGCACCUACUGUUUUUAUGACGCAUCACAAGUAUCAAUUUCGGUUUCAUAAGGGUUCUGUAGACCAUGAUUUAGACUUGUAGCAUGCUUUAAAACCUCCAUAAAACUUGCAAUGUUACUUUAAAUAUUUACUGCAAAGGAAAUUUAAAUAUUUGGUUGAUAAUUUCAUGACAAAACUUCUUCAAUCGUUCCGAUCAAGUCAUCAAAGAUUUUCCCUAAAACGAUAAUCUAUGUAAGCUGCCCAAAAAUGUCCUUUACCUUUCCUUCGAGGAUCCCUCAAUUUCCCAGAAUGUUCAGACAAAAUAUGUUAUGAUUUAUUUCUGGAAACCAAUAGGUUGUAGUAUUAAGUUAAGGGCAGUUGCAAAGCAGAUGUAAUAGCCAAAGAAAAUUAAGAAGGUUUCAAUAUAGGCCGAACUGAGUUGUUUUUUCCGUGAAAUCGACGAUAGAAGUGGCAAGUCAGUUAUCGAUAAUCGAGUCUAACCUGUAUGAAAAUAAGAAGUUCGAAACCGGAGAAGCUCAGUUGGUUUUAAGUAAUAUCUCAAAAGGCCGUUUGGCAUAAGCAAAACAAAAAAAAAAAACAAUAUUUUGGGCUAGAACGUUCUAUUCUUGGUUUAGCCUGCUUUUAAGAUUGAAUCUUGAAUGGGUGAAUAUUCUGGUUCUGUUGACCCUUUUAUGGGACGACUGUUAUGCCAAAUUGCUUUGUGGUUCAAUGUUUCUUCUGUGUUUUUUUUUAAAGACCGUGCAUUUCGUAGUUGCUCCUCCGAGAUUGAUCAGAACUAAAUUAAAAUGCACUUGCACAGAGAACCACGUAGAUGUUGCAUGGGAUUAGCUUUCUAUCUUCAAUUGUACCAGGUACACUAAUUCAAUUUAUUUAUAGAUCAAUCACAGCACCGGACACGUCCUCGCGGUCUUUGGGGAGGGAAGGAUGAUUAGUUCGACGUCCGUUGUUACUUGAGACCGAACACACCUCUGCAUCUCCACGGUUUUCACAGGGAGGAUGUAGUUGUGUUAGUGAGGUGGGUUAUUUUUAGACCAGGAUUCACUGUGGUAAGUGAUGCGGUCGGUUUUGUUAAAGCAGAAUUCGUUUUCAUUUAAAAUCUAGUGGGGAUAGAAUAAGGCAAAAGGACAAAUUGCAAGGAAGAGGACGGGCCAGAAAUUGACCUUCUGCACAGUAAGCAGAAACGGUAAAAACUGAGCUACCAAGCCUCGCCAUUUAAUCUCACUCAAAUUUGAAUUCCAUUUACUCAAAUUCGCAAAAACCACAGUCAAAUUUUCCUCGAAAAUCUGGUUGAAUACGGAAUCAGGGAAAUCAAUUUGAGACUUACUAAACUCAUAUUUGAGUGAGAUUCAACAACCGGGUACGAUCUUGAGCCAAAUGGGGUGGCCCCGUUUAAAAGGCUUUUGUCGUCCAGAGAAAUGUUCAUUGGAAAAUUGCAUAGUUAGAUAAAAGUUUAAGGCUCGGGGUUCACAAAUUUACUAUACGAAGAAGUAACUCUCAAAACUCUCGACUCCUUGGAUAUACACUUGAUGGGGUAGGACAAAAUGUUCCCGGGUAAAUUAUCCAAGGGGUCAAACUAUAAUUUAUUUUCAUUCAAAUUUCAAAUUUCAAACUCAUUCAGUCGACAAAAGUCAUUUUGUGUGUGGUGACCCCCCAUGCAAAUCAAAUGGGGAGUCACCUCACACGACGUGACUUUUAUCAACUCACUAGUGACAGAGAAUCACACGACUCGCUUAAUAGGCCUGAUUAUCUCAUUUUCUUCUAAGAUCACCUUUGUUACACUAAAAGAAACGACAAAUGUAUUGUUUCAGUGUAGACGGUAAUUGUUAGGAGUUGUGGAGAGUUUGACCUUCAAGAGCGGAAACAGAGAGGAGACUAGGAAGAGAAAAAUGAUUAAAGUAGUAGUACUAGCGCGGUGAAGAUGUGUUUUCAUUUCAAUAAAAAUAAAGAAUAAGUUACAGUCCAUUUGCCUUUCUCCAGUGAGUAUCAGAAGAACAUUUUGGUCCUUCGAGUCGGAUUCUGAGCAACAGAUCACUGAACUGCAUCAGCAUUGUCUGGAGUUGUUUUUGAGCCUCAUUAAUUCCUUUUGCUGCGUAAUUUACAAGAAGUGAAAUCUUCUUAACAGCACUCUCAACCCUUUCGGUGUUGGAAAGAUUCAUUCCUUUCUCUAGCGAAAUAAUGGCGGUAUAUAGAAUACCCACAUGCUUUAGCACUGGCUCCACUUCGCUUUAUACCAAAGUUUCUUUGGGAUCUCUGUGUCGCAAGCCUAAUUCACACAGUCGAGAGAUGUAGGCCAAAGCUGACAUUUUCUCAGUUUUCGGGGAGCUUUUUCCUUCGAGUAGUUGGUAGUACUCCUCGGCUUCUCGAUCCAGAGCUUUGUUUGACUGAGAUUUGGGUGAUGGACUCGAGUCGUCUUCCAAGUAGAAAGAUACGCUUUCUGAUGGCGGAACUGAGAGAUAUUGGUCAUCUGACUCAACAAUUUUCGGGAUCUGUACAGGCACCAAAGCGUUCGACAAGCAUUCCUGGAGAUCAGACUUAGAUGCCUUGUUCUUUUCCAUGAUCUUCCCACAUCAAGUGCUUUCUUCUUUCCACUCAUCUUACUGAUUUUCCUGCGUCGGGCAAUUGUUACAAAAGCAAAGUAGCAGAGUAACAACCUUCAAUAAUUGAAAAGAACGUUCAGGAGAGAUUUCUAGACCAUCAGAUAGUACUAAAAAAAAAACUUGGUUUUAGCAUUAAAAAUCUUGAACUCUCAGUUUAAGUUUACGAAACUCUAUGAGACUCUUGUAAAAGCUGUCGAAUUAAACCCUUUUUGAAUUCUUUAAAAGCCUGACCAAUAUUUACUACCCUGGACCAAUCUUUCGUAGGCGAACUAGACAACUAGGUAUGCAGUACUGCACAUUAAUUUCCAUGUUGAUGGCUUCCAUGAAAAAAAAAUCACAAUUAUUAUCAACUCAUUAUCAAUACAUUACGCGAUACAGAAACGGUACCGUUCAAAGAAGGGGCUCGCAGAUCCAGUAGGUUGAUAGUAAAUGCCUUCAUCUAGCGGUUCCCGGCUUUCGGAUUCUCAGUCAAAACAACCGGCGUUCUGUUUUUCUUCAAAACUUUUAUUCGCCUGCAAUCGUAGUUCCUUACAUGCGAAUGAUAUGUCCGUUGUACAUUGCGUCUAUUCGGGUGUUGUGCUAAGAACUGUCAUUUUACCCUUACCACGAAAGAAGCAACCAUUUACUAAAAAAUCUGUGUAUAAAAAUCGCUAGAUUCGCGCGUUCGCUUUUUUUUUCUCUUCAAUCUGCGAUCCUGAGUCUACAUCUCCCUAAUUAGUUUCGAAUUGUAGUACCUAUCCUAAUAUACACUUAUACAAUUGAUAGGUUUUAAGUAUUGUUUAAGUAUUAAGAGACAAAUGCAGCAAAAACACAUUUCAAUUUUAAAUUGAACGGAUGUAUUCAAUUUUAAACUGACAGACAUUAAAAAAAAUAUGAAAAAUUCUAAAACUAUCAUUGAAAAGAACUACUA
This is a long non-coding RNA of Ochlerotatus camptorhynchus, 4577 nucleotides long. RefSeq lists it as uncharacterized. Lineage: Eukaryota; Metazoa; Arthropoda; Insecta; Diptera; Culicidae. The transcript has 2 exons. The record is from RefSeq and is a predicted model, not a curated record.